Molecule: long non-coding RNA, 550 nt
Organism: Symphalangus syndactylus (siamang)
Lineage: Eukaryota; Metazoa; Chordata; Mammalia; Primates; Hylobatidae
Source: RefSeq, a predicted model, not a curated record
UCUCCACUUUCUGGUUUCAUAGCAGAACCCGUUACUUGUUCCUCAAGAAGUUUGGGGAGCCAUGCUUACAAUCUGACAUAUUGGUAUACAACAGAGAGGACUUAGAAUGAUACAUUGGUGAAGUCCAGUAAUUCAAGUGUUUGGCUAACAAUCAUCAAGGCCACAAAAACCCAGCCUCUGCUCUUGGCAGUAUCAGGAACUUCAUGGAAUACAUCACUUUCAAAUUGCAGCUGCAAAUGGUCUUGUUAAAGGUAUCAUCAGACAAACUUAAAGAUGAUCUGACAAUGUCAUUUUCCAAGGGACUGAUAGAAAGAUUGAGUAUCAUGGAAUCAGAGCAGACAACAGAGAAUCAGAUUUGGACUGAAUCAGAAUAAACAGGCAAUGCAGACACUCGUUCUCUGAAUCACAAUCAAGACUCAGUGCUGGAACAGAUUUGAGGAAUUUAUACAAUUCUUAUCUAAACUAAUGUCUGGUAUUUAACCAGGUUAAAGUUUUUUCUUUUAUUUUAAUGUGAGAAAAAAUUAAUAAAUAAUAUAUUUUCCAUUCACUA